CCCCGCCCUGGCUUAGGGCUGCCUGGAAACAGAAGGGAAAGAUGGAGAGUGGGGCCAAGGACCCGGCUCUGGAUCCUAGUACCUGAACCUUCUUCAGGUUGCUUCAGGGAUGGAUUUAACAUCCCAUAGCUUCAAGAUGAGUCGGACUCUGUCAAAGACAUCCAGUUUCCCACCUCAGACAGGUGAACAGAAAGAAUCAGAUCCAACACAACAAAUCUUCACACACAAGGCUACUGAAGACUUCUACCACCAAAACAGCUCCCCUGUGCUUUCUGGACAGCUGUUAUCAGACAUAUGCAUGCAGCCCCAUCCAACCUCAAUCAUUCUAAGGGAGCAUUACCAGAAAAAAACUAAACCAUUCUGACGAAAUUCACUGCAAAUAAGGAUAAGCUCUUCUUCACUCCUUCAUAUAAGUUCUGGGUCUAUUCCAAUGAAGGUCACUCAGAGUUCUAAAUGGCCAAGAAGUCAUUACAGUCCAAUUACUCUGCCUCAACAACCCUGGACAGAAUGGGGGGCCAGGCUCAGAACUCAAGGAAACCCAAUGUCAGGACUUCUCUAGCCUACCCUCUUCUGCAUGGGUAAGGCAUACUUUCUCAAGUCAAUCAAGAGACAUUCAGAGUUGGAGCCAGUGUGUCUAGUGUCUGACUCUACAUUCUAUAUUUAGCCAGUGCUUCCAGCAGGUGCUGUACAAACAGGUAACAUACACACAACAUGCAUGCUGGGCAAAGCUCUGGGCAUCCCUUACAAAUCUGUUGGAAAAAAAAAAUUACAAAGAUUCCACAGCAAGGCCUCACCUCUAAGUGAGCGACAGCAGCAGAAACAGGUCUGUAUGCACAUGCAUGAAAUGCUCUACAAAGGUAUCAGAAUGGUUUCAAGCACCAUGUAUUCCAGAAGCUUCCACAUGUAGAAAACCUCUCCAGGCACACAUGAUAAUUGGCUGACUUCCCAGCUAAGAAGUAUAAGCCAGCUCUCCCAAGAACUCCAAGAAGUUAAAAAAAAUCAGAGAAUAGGAGAAUAUGGACAGUCUGAGAUUUCCUUCUACUCUCACACAUAUAGAGAAGCGAAGGACCUAAGGGAUCAAAGUACACUGUCCACUUCUCCACUCCUACCCCCCACCCACUGGUCAGGUCCCAGGGAAAUAACAGCUAGAGUCAGAGGAGGUGGGUGGGAGACUCCAAGUAAGCAGGUACAAGCAGUCAGGUCUUGGCAGGAUUCUGCCUGGCUCAGUUUCAUCAAUGACAGGCUAGUGCCACCUACCCGCACAGGGUUGCAUGAGGACCAAGUGAGCCAGCAAAUUUGAAAAGAACCAUGUACGAGUGAUAUGAUGGUUACUAAUCAAUUCCUUCCCCUCCCGCCUGCGUCCUAGCCCAAAUCCCUGUCACUAUACUAUACUAAGGGAGGGAGGGACAAGCUCACAGUAAUUGUUAAUCCCAGGUAAAUGCCUGGUGAAGUGGCAAGCAGACAGUGUCUUGGAGAAAUGUGGCUAUUUUUAUAAUUCUGCAUCCUGUUCAGUAGAUUGCACAACGUGCCCCUUAGCUCCAGGGGUUCUUACCCACAGCGCCUUGGAGACAUGGUUAAUGUCUGUCUGGGACUGAGGCUGCCGUGCAGCAGCUAGGCCAGAGUCCCAAACACUCCCGGCUGCUGUUCGCUGUGCCUGGGGCCCUGGGCCUGCCUUCAUGUGUUUUAUUUUAGCUCUUUUUAAGAAUAAUUCAAGAUUUAAAAACCAAAAAGGAACUGGCAGUUCUGAGAUCUUCAUUUCUUAGUUUUGUUAUUACCUUUUCUUUAUCUCUCUCUCUUUUUUAAAAAUUUAGUUUUUAAUAGAGGGCCUUAAACAACCACAUGAGAAAAAUAAAGCUAAAAUACCAAGGAAAACCUCUUGACACAGGGGGAGGAGCCUGGAACAGAUACCCUCCCCGAGUGCACAGCCCCAUGCCACCUAGGACUCAGGGACAAACAGGACCCAGCAUCUCCCCUGUAGAAUGGUCUCUUAAGCCAGCCCUGCUGGGCACAGCAAGCCCCACCAGAAGCUCCCUCGUCCCCCUUCUCCCGCAAGCCUCUUGGCAGCAGCCCUGUCAAUCCUCUGUCACGGGGGAGGGGGGGGACAUGGAUGGGACUGCAUCAACCACCUUGACUCCAUCUCUAGCCCUUCCCUCCUCCUGGAAAGUCCUUCAAACCCUAUCUCCACCCACCCAUGCUAAUUCAUGCCAGCAGCGCCUCUUUGUAAUGAGGAUUCUGACUGCUAUCAGGUCUUCAAGAUCCCUUCUCCCCCUUCUUUCUUUCAUGGUGACUCAGGUCUCCAUUUCCUGAUCCCGAGUUUCUGACUAAGCAAUACCUCUAUGAGAAUCCAGGAAAGGACCUGUGGUAAAAGAGUUGGAAUCUCUGCUUUAACACCCUCACGUAAGGAAUCUGAGCCGCCCGCCCCCCCCCAAUUGGGUAAAGUGAAUGAGUUCUGUCAACCAAGCCAGGACCAGAAUACAGGUCUGCUAACUCCUCUGCACCAAGCAGUGUAAACCCCAUUUCCCCUGACCUGCCUCUUUCCCAAGCUCCCCAUCACUCUACCUCAUCCCUGGCAACUUCAGACCCCUGGCAGCAGACGGCAGCUUCCUUGGUCUGGGUUGGCCAGGCACCCAAAGAUGGGCCAAGGAGAGGAAGCCCAGAGUUUGAUUUACGGUGGGCCCAGCAGCUGCUUCUCCCAAGUGACCAAGGCCUGAGCCUAGGGGAUGCAUGCCCUGCACACAUGCCCUUCAACCUACCUCAGUGUCUCAAGACAAAGCAAACCCGGGCAAUCUAACACAAGGCGACUUCUCCCCUCCCAGCGCCUGUCCCUUGCUGGUCACGAUCAUCAGCUCCAGGAACCAUGCGUCCUGGCAGAGGGGCUGUGCCUCCUGCAGGCACAUAUUUGACCAGUGACUCGGCAAAGACCUGACCCAAAUGUUCCCUGUGCUGCAUGGACAAGAGAGGCACGAUGACCAGGCUGAGACACAAAAGCCAGCUGGCCCCGGAGAGGAUGGGAGACAGAAAGCCAGGGAUGGCCGUGGCAAAUGGAAAAACCUCAUUCACUGGUGACGUCUACUCCCACCUGGACUCCUAAUUCAUUACAUGUUCCUGUUAGCUAUGGGGGCCUUGGGAGGAUGUUUCUAUUGGGAAGAAAAGGGAUUAGUGUCUCUAUCAAUCUCAAUCUCCGGAGGAAAGUUCAACCAGCAUGGCUUCCCAGGAAGCUGAGGUCCUUCCGUCUUUCCAUCCCUUCCUAUCAUCGGGACCCCCUUAUUGCGUGUGCUGCCCUUUUCCUUCACCCUCACACAAUCUCCAUAUUUUGCAUACAUUUUUAAAUUUUUAAAUAUAUUUUUAAAUUUUUUAACUAAUGAUCUCUCUCCCCACUAGAAUGCAUGCUCUCCAGGAAUAAAAACUUGGUUUGUUGACUCUGCAACCCAGCACCUAGUACAGCCCCAGCAUCUAGGAGACGCUCCAUACACAUUUGGUAAGGAACGUAUUUGCCUUGCUCAGUCCUGCUGGUCCCUGGGUACCAAAGGGUGUCUGCGUCUGCCUGACCUCUCCAAAAAGGAACAUACAGAGCCACCCCUGGGGAGGGUCCUUGGGUGACUGCCUUUCACUCUGGUUCAUAUUCGUUCUCUGAGGGUCUUCGCUCACAGAAAUAUUUGACUCUGGAAAACCAGGGUGAGGAGAAACUACAGGUUUUGGAAUCAGAAGUGCUGGAUUUAAAUCUAAACAACCCCACUCACCAAAUGUGUGAGCUUGGUUAAGUCACUUAAUCACAGUUCCUUUAACUGUAAAAGGGAAAUAAUGCCUACAUCACAUGGUUGUUGUGAAGAUGAAAUCAGAUAAGCAAAGGGCCCUUAACAAAGGUCAGUUUCCUUUCCCUGGAUGGUAGGCAGGAACUGAGAACUCGGAUGCAUCUCAUACCUUCAUGCCUUGUGACGGACCCAACCUGGUACCACACCAUCCAUGGCGCCAGGCGUUCAAUAUGGGAACCCUUCAUAGGGAACACACAUCUGUCCUGGGCCAUGGCAGGCACUUCUGGAUGAGCACUGGACUUGUCCUCCACAUCUUUCUGGUCCUGCUCUUGUGAUACAACAGUGUACAGCCACCGCGCCAUGAGGCUGUCUCCAUCCCUGUGCUGGCACUCCACCCACCCCACACAAGCUUCACACUGCAGCACCAGGCUCUGCAGAGACCAUGAGGCCCUGGGGGUGUUCUCUGGCUCGAUCAGCCCAUGAACAGCUCCGGUAGAAGGAGCCAGCAGGGAGCCAAACCCAGUCUAUGCUUUCCUCACAGCCACUGCAAGUCCCAGAAAAGCAAAGCAAAACGAGUGCCUCCCACAGACAGCCGGCUGGUGGAAAAGGGUGGUAUCUCUUACAUAUCUCAGAGGGAAGCCACACAUCCAAAAAAAGUGACCAGUACAAGGUACAGUUCCUCUCUAAAGCUGUGGCUGCAGCUUCAGGGGCACUCAAGCCAGGGGACAGAGCCAACAUAUGCAUUAAACAAUUCACAGCCCUGACAGGACUAGGAGUCAAUGGAAUAGAGAAGGUGCUGACCAAUCAGGGGCCUUGGCAGGGUCCCGCCCGCACAACUCCCAGCCAAGCCACGCCACCUCCGCUCCAGUGCUCUGUUAACCUCUGCUGGAUCCCGGAUGCAAGGGCCCCUGCCUCCUAGCUCUCAGACCUCAGGGACUCAAAGGUCAAGAAAAAGUGCCUCUCUCUCAAGGGGUGCCACUUGUUCUGCUUAUGUGACUGGCAACACACAACGCCCUCCAUCAUGGGAGCAGAAGGCAGCCAGGCUGGUAAACAGGAAGCCAAGCAUUAGAUGAGAGAUCGAAGUAGGGAAAUGAGCUGGGAAGCACCGACCCCAAUUCACCAAGACAACAACGGGAGCAAAACCAACCCUGGUUUUCCCAGUCAAGCAAGGGCAGGGCUGUGAAUGGGGGCAGAGGUCACCCAGAGCCAGGCCUGGGGACACGCUGCGCAUGUGCAAGCAGAGUCUCCCAGGCACAGCCAGCAGGUAUGUCUGGCCCCAGUCUUAACGCUAGUCAGACUCUAGACUACACAUCUUGAGGGACUAGCUCACCCUCCUCUCCUCCCUGGCUGCACAGAGCCUCUUCACUUGUGCUCCAGCCCCAAUACACCCAGUCAUCUCACAACGCUA
Ictidomys tridecemlineatus (thirteen-lined ground squirrel) is the source of this 5160-nucleotide non-coding RNA. The record is from RefSeq and is a predicted model, not a curated record. Lineage: Eukaryota; Metazoa; Chordata; Mammalia; Rodentia; Sciuridae.